CCUACGGGAGGCAGCAGUGAGGAAUAUUGGUCAAUGGGCGCGAGCCUGAACCAGCCAAGUCGCGUGAGGGAUUAAGGCCCUGCGGGUCGUAAACCUCUUUUGCCGGGGAGCAGUGGUCCGGACGCGUCCGGACCGGGAGAGUACCCGGAGAAAAAGCAUCGGCUAACUCCGUGCCAGCAGCCGGGGUAAUACGGAGGAUGCGAGCGUUAUCCGGAUUUAAUGGGGUUAAAGGGUGCGUAGGCGGGCAUUUAAGCCGGCGGGCAAAUGUCGGGGCUCAAACCCGGCCUGCCGUCGGAACUGGGUGCCUUGAGUGGGCGAGAAGUAUGCGGAAUGCGUGGUGUAGCGGUGAAAUGCAUAGAUAUCACGCAGAACCCCGAUUGCGAAGGCAGCAUACCGGCGCCCUACUGACGCUGAGGCACGAAAGUGCGGGUAUCGAACAGGAUUAGAUACCCCAGUAGUC
This 460-nucleotide ribosomal RNA is filed under the name uncultured bacterium. RNAcentral describes it as "partial 16S ribosomal RNA". It matches the Rfam family "Bacterial small subunit ribosomal RNA", at positions 338 to 795 of the family's 1533-position model. The record is from RNAcentral.